This 491-nucleotide ribosomal RNA is filed under the name uncultured bacterium. RNAcentral's name for it is "bacterial SSU rRNA". It matches the Rfam family "Bacterial small subunit ribosomal RNA", at positions 15 to 518 of the family's 1533-position model. The record is from RNAcentral.
GAUUAUGGCUCAGAACGAAUGCUGGUGGCGUGUCUUAUACAUGCAAGUCGAGCGGUCCGCAAGGAUAGCGGCGAACGGGUGAGUAACGCGUAAGCAAUCUCGCCCCGCAUAUUGGGAUACGCCGUGCCAACGCGCGGAUAAUACCGAAUAACGUGGCCCCGGACAUCCGGGGUUGACGAAAGAUUCAUCGAUGCGGGAUGAGCUUGCGUCCGAUUAGCUAGUUGGCGGGCAACGGCCCACCAAGGCGACGAUCGGUAGCCGGCCUGAGAGGGUGAUCGGCCACAUUGGGACUGAGAUACGGCCCAGACUCCUACGGGAGGCAGCAGUAGGGAAUAUUGCACAAUGGGGGAAACCCUGAUGCAGCAACGCCAACGUGUGGGAAGAAGCAUUUCGGUGUGUAAACCACUGUCGUGAGGGAAUAAUACGCGUCUUCGGGCGCGGGAGAAUGUACCUCGAAAGGAAGCACCGGCAAACUUCGUGCCAGCCGCGGC